RNAcentral lists this ribosomal RNA (397 nucleotides) under uncultured bacterium. Its description in RNAcentral is "partial 16S ribosomal RNA". It matches the Rfam family "Bacterial small subunit ribosomal RNA", at positions 523 to 918 of the family's 1533-position model. The record is from RNAcentral.
AUACGUAGGGGGCGAGCGUUGUCCGGAAUGACUGGGCGUAAAGGGCGUGUAGGCGGCCGAUUAAGUCUGGAGUGAAAGUCCCGCUCUCAAGGUGGGAAUUGCUUUGGAGACUGGUUGGCUUGAGUGCGGAAGAGGUAAGUGGAAUUCCCAGUGUAGCGGUGAAAUGCGUAGAGAUUGGGAGGAACACCAGUGGCGAAGGCGGCUUACUGGACUGUAACUGACGCUGAGGCGCGAAAGUGUGGGGAGCAAACAGGAUUAGAUACCCUGGUAGUCCACACUGUAAACGAUGAAUGCUAGGUGUAGGGGGUAUCGACCCCUUCUGUGCCGCAUUCAACACAAUAAGCAUUCCGCCUGGGGAGUACGGCCGCAAGGUUGAAACUCAAAGGAAUUGACGGGG